CCUACGGGUGGCAGCAGUGAGGAAUAUUGGUCAAUGGGCGCGAGCCUGAACCAGCCAAGUCGCGUGAGGGAAGACGGUCCUAUGGAUUGUAAACCUCUUUUGUCGGGGAGCAAAAGACGCCACGCGUGGCGUUCCGAGAGUACCCGAAGAAAAAGCAUCGGCUAACUCCGUGCCAGCAGCCGCGGUAAUACGGAGGAGGCAAGCGUUAUCCGGAUUUAUUGGGUUUAAGGGGUGCGCAGGCGGAAGAUCAAGCCGGCGGUAAAAGUGAGAGGCUCAACCUCUGCGGGCCGGUGAAACUGGUUUUCUUGAGUGGGCGAGAGGUAUGCGGAAUGCGUGGUGUAGCGGUGAAAUGCAUAGAUAGCACGCAGAACACCGAUGGCGAAGGCAGCAUACCGGCGCCUAACUGACGCUGAGGCACGAAAGCGUGGGUAUCGAACAGGAUUAGAUACCCGAGUAGUC
This 459-nucleotide ribosomal RNA is filed under the name uncultured bacterium. RNAcentral's name for it is "partial 16S ribosomal RNA". It matches the Rfam family "Bacterial small subunit ribosomal RNA", at positions 338 to 795 of the family's 1533-position model. The record is from RNAcentral.